Molecule: ribosomal RNA, 253 nt
Filed under: uncultured bacterium
Lineage: Bacteria
Description: partial 16S ribosomal RNA
Rfam family: Bacterial small subunit ribosomal RNA
Source: RNAcentral
UACGUAGGGUCCGAGCGUUGUCCGGAAUUAUUGGGCGUAAAGGGCUCGUAGGCGGUUUGUCACGUCGGGAGUGAAAACUCAGGGCUCAACCCUGAGCGUGCUUCCGAUACGGGCAGACUAGAGGUAUGCAGGGGAGAACGGAAUUCCUGGUGUAGCGGUGGAAUGCGCAGAUAUCAGGAGGAACACCGGUGGCGAAGGCGGUUCUCUGGGCAUUACCUGACGCUGAGACGCGAAAGCGUGGGGAGCAAACAGG